GGCGGACCCCGCAGCUGUGUCUGCCGGAGCCCUGCGCGCCCUCGGAGCCAUGCUGCGGAGCUGCGCCUCACGACUGCGCACGCCCGGGGCCCUGCGCGGCAGGUUGGGAGGUGCGCCCCCGCCGGCGAGGGACUCGCGGCCGCCCCCUAGGUCGUUUUCUUCAGAGGUCAUUUAUGUGGACCAUUCUCUCCCCAACCCCAGCUGGAGCAAGGACAUGAGACUCCUUUUUGACCAGUUCAUGAAGAAAACUGAAGAUGGCUCUUGGAAACGUUUGCCUUCACAUAAAUCUGUAUCUCCUCAAAGGACUGAAGAGGUCAAAACCUUUUUUCCUGGCACUAGAGGAAGACCGGGCAGAGCAGACUUCUGCCUGUUUUCCCAGGAUCCCAUCUGUAGGCUC
Molecule: non-coding RNA, 397 nt
Organism: Leptonychotes weddellii (Weddell seal)
Lineage: Eukaryota; Metazoa; Chordata; Mammalia; Carnivora; Phocidae
Source: RefSeq, a predicted model, not a curated record